AUGGGGGAUAAGCUUCAUCGUCGAGAGGGAAACAGCCCGGAUCACCAGCUAAGGCCCCUAAGUGACCGCUCAGUGAUAAAGGAGGUGGGGGUGCAAAGACAGCCAGGAGGGGAGCGUUCCGCCUUAGAGGGAAGCAACCGCGAAAGCGGGGGUCGACGAAGCGAAAGCGAGAAUGUCGGCUUGAGUAACGAAAACAUUGGUGAGAAUCCAAUGCCCCGAAAACCCAAGGUUUCCUCCGCAAGCUUAGGUGGAAGGCGAAGAAGGCCCCCUUCCAGGGGGGCCCGAGCCAUCAGUGAGAUACCACUCUAG
RNAcentral lists this ribosomal RNA (309 nucleotides) under Triticum aestivum (bread wheat). Its description in RNAcentral is "partial small subunit ribosomal RNA". It matches the Rfam family "Bacterial large subunit ribosomal RNA", at positions 991 to 1441 of the family's 2925-position model. Lineage: Eukaryota; Viridiplantae; Streptophyta; Magnoliopsida; Poales; Poaceae. The record is from RNAcentral.